This 207-nucleotide ribosomal RNA is filed under the name uncultured bacterium. RNAcentral describes it as "partial 16S ribosomal RNA". It matches the Rfam family "Bacterial small subunit ribosomal RNA", at positions 568 to 774 of the family's 1533-position model. The record is from RNAcentral.
UGCGUAGGUUGAUGGGUAAGUCAGUGGUGAAAUACUCCGACUCAAUCGGAGAACUGCCGUUGAUACUAUCCAUCUUGAAUACGGUGGAGGCGGGCGGAAUGCGUCAUGUAGUGGUGAAAUACUUAGAUAUGACGCAGAACACCCAUUGCGAAGGCAGCUCGCUACACCGGCAUUGACACUGAGGCACGAAAGCGUGGGGAUCAAACA